RNAcentral lists this ribosomal RNA (253 nucleotides) under uncultured bacterium. Its description in RNAcentral is "partial 16S ribosomal RNA". It matches the Rfam family "Bacterial small subunit ribosomal RNA", at positions 524 to 776 of the family's 1533-position model. The record is from RNAcentral.
GACAGAGGGUGCAAACGUUGCUCGGAAUUAUUGGGCGUAAAGAGCUCGUAGGUGGUUUGUUACGUCUGCUGUGAAAACCUAGGGCUUAACCCUGGGCCUGCAGUGGAUACGGGCAGACUAGAGGUAGGUAGGGGAGAAUGGAAUUCCCGGUGUAGCGGUGAAAUGCGCAGAUAUCGGGAGGAACACCGGUGGCGAAGGCGGUUCUCUGGGCCUUACCUGACACUGAGGAGCGAAAGCGUGGGGAGCGAACAGG